Molecule: long non-coding RNA, 1594 nt
Organism: Vulpes vulpes (red fox)
Lineage: Eukaryota; Metazoa; Chordata; Mammalia; Carnivora; Canidae
Source: Ensembl
UUAUCAGAGACAGUAGUUAAAUAUUAGUAAAAUAUACUGUAAUGACUACUAAUAGGAAGGCUGUAUAUAUUUUUCAAAUCUAGGACACAGUUGAUUUGGGGGAAGAAACAACUGAUGCAUUUGGCAGAAUGUACUGGAUGAAUACAGCCAAUUCAAAUACUUUUCUGGGCCCUGAAAAAUAGUCCUCCAUCUUUAAUGGUGACCUGGCUGGAAAGAGAGUACUGAACCCUAGGUGGGUGGGCUGGAUUUCUUUUGUAAUCAUAGGGCAAACCUCUGAAGAUAUUUCCAGAAUGUCUUUUUGGCAGAAUGUUUUUAAGGGUUGAAUUAAAAUCUAGAGCUGAGUGACUGAGAAAUGCUAUAUUAUUAGUAUCGAAGAGAUAAGGAUGGGAUUUGGUCUCAGGGUUUGAAAUGACUUGGGAAUUCAUUUAUGAAUAUGUAUGGUACCCACUGAGGGUAUUGUGGCCUGAUUUGCCUCUCAGAAAUUCAGGAAGAAGAGGGAAGAGAGCAAAGUCAUGCAUGUUUUGGUUUGCAAUCUUUCCAGUGUUGAAGAAAAAAGAUGUUGAUGAAUCGAAUGAAGAUCCAAGGUUUAAAAAUGUUUGAGUUCAAGUUAAAGGUGGAUCAAGAGGGAGUAAUGUGAUUGAGCUGCCUGCAUGAUCUGUGGAAGUACCAUUUUUUAUUUAUCAUUUUUAUGAUUUUAUUUUAUUUUUUCAUGCCUCUCAUCAUUUUAUUUUUUAUUUUAUUUUAAAUUUAAUUAAAAUAUUUUUAUUUAUUUAUUUCAGAGAGAGUGAGGGAACAUGAGCAAGAGGAGGAGCAGACUCUCUGCUGAGCAGAGAGCCUGACACAGGACUGGGUCCUGGGAUUCCAGGAUCAUGACCUGAGCCAAAGGCAGACACUUAACCGACUGAGUCACCCAGGUGCCCAUAUAAUAGGUCAUUUUUGUCUCUGUCUUUAUAAGAUGUUGAGAGAAUUAUCUAGACCAGAGCUCUACCCAAACCUUUUUUCUUCUUCCCACUUGCUCUUUCUCUCCUUUCUCCCCCUCUCUUUUUCCCUCUCUCAUUUAUUCCUCAAAUAAUAGAUUUCUUUCCACUUCACUCCCACUGGUUUAACUUGAUUUUUAAAGGACUUUACUAGUAAGAUCCCAGAAUGACUCAGGGUGGAGGAAACUACAGCAGAUGGAGAGAAGGAAGCAGAGGAGGGGGUGUGGAAGGAAGGAGCUGAGGGCCAGGGCAGGUGUGGAGAGCAGCUUAGUGCAGACACACGAAUUUCUACAACCAGACUGGUAUUCUGAGAUAUUCCCUGCUGCUCUGGAAUCUCUGUAAACACAGGGAUUUGUCUGGAAUGACUUUACAGCUCAGCAGGAAGCUUGCUAAGCACCAGGAGUCUCAAACUCUGAGUGCUGCUCAGAAAUCAAGGGAGGAGGUGCUCUGAGCCUGGCAUGUGCUCCCUGCCUGGGCCUGCUGAUGCCCAUUUAAGCUGGGAGAGGGCCACAGAGGCUUGUGCAUGCUCCAAUUCCAUUUGAGGGCUGAAAGUGACCUCGCAAAGGCAUCGACUACAUCUUUGUUGCUGUUAUGGUGAGCCACACCUAAAAUGUCCC